CUAUAUAAGUAUUAUACUACUAUUUUCAGAAAUGUAGCAUUUUAACUGUGUUUCUGAAAUUGGCUAGAAUGAGAGAUAAUGUGUUUGGUUUAAAACAUGGUCAACCAACUGUGCAUGAGAGUUUUGGAUGAGUUUUUUGGUUUGUUUCUUUUGACUUUUGAAACAAUGUAAAAACCUUUCAAAUUAAAUUCUGUACGUAGAAGUUAGGCAUGUCAGACUGUGAAGCAGCUCUAAAGCAACAAGGAUGACAAAAACGACUCCACAUUUGUGAUUCUGAUGUCUACAUAGUAACUUGCUUUAUAUGGACCACAAUAACUCGUUGCAAUGGAAUACUAGAGAGCAAAUUCAAGAUAGAAAAUAUUUAGUGAUGUGAAUACCAUAAUGAGGAAGAAGCCAACAUUGUGUAACUGUUAGCAAUUGCUAGAAUGGGUCGACUGAAAGAAUUUCAAAAUCUCAUCUGGAAAAAUAACAAUCAAGAUGCUUUAAGCACCAGCAUUUCUCAAAUUUCAUUAAGUGAAGAGAAAGGUAAACAAACAGUUCAUUUAUCAUUCAGUCAAAUUUAUUAAGAACUACCUGCAGAGACUCCCUCAGCCAUUUAAGAAACCCUACUGGUGGCUGGGUGCUGUGGCUCACGCCUAUAAUCCUAACACUUUGGGAAGCCAAGGCGGGUGGAUCACAAGGUCAGGCGCUGGAGACCAGUUUGGCCAACAUGAUGAAACUGUGUCUCUACUGAAAAUACAAAAAUUAGCUGGACAUGGUGGCAUACACCUGUAAUCCCAGCUACUCAAGAGGCUGAGGGAGGAGAAUUGUUUGAACUUGGGAGGCAGAGGUUGCAGUGAGUCGAGAUCGUGCCACUGCACUCCAGCCUGGGUGACAGAGCAAGACUCCGUCUUAAAAAAAAAAUCUCACUGGUAUCACUUCUAGGCUCCCUUUGAGAGCGACCGACUCCUGGCUGUGUCCCACUGAGACAGUGUGAAAGGUGACUGAGAACAUGAUUUCAUUUUCAGGCCUGGAACGAAUGCUUAAAACGUACUCCAGCACCUCCUCCUUCUCUGAUGCAAAGAGCCAGAAAGACACAGCAGCGCUAAUGGAUGAGAACAAUUUGAAACUAGACCUUUUGGAAGCGAACUCCUACAAACUGUCAUCAAUGUUAGCAGAACUUGAGCAAAGACCUCAACCCAGCCAUCCUUGUAGUAACUCCAUCUUCAGGUGGAGAGAAAAGGAGCAUACUCAUAGCUAUGUGAAAAUAUCUCGGCCUUUUUUAAUGAAGAGAUUAGAGAAUAUUGUGAGCAAGGCAUCUUCUGGUGGGCAGAGCAAUCCAGGUUCUUCAACUCCAGCCCCUGGUGCAGCCCAGCUCAGCAGCAGACUUUGCAAGGCCUUAUAUUCUUUUCAAGCCAGGCAAGAUGAUGAGUUGAAUUUGGAAAAGGGUGACAUUGUGAUUAUACACGAGAAAAAAGAAGAAGGAUGGUGGUUUGGAUCUUUGAAUGGGAAAAAAGGCCAUUUUCCUGCCGCUUAUGUGGAGGAGUUACCUUCAAAUGCUGGCAACACAGCUACAAAGGCAUAAAACAAGACUCUGAAGAUACUACCUUCACACUCGGUAACGAACAAUACAAUACAGUGUGGUUCAAAUAAGAAUAAAGUGCUCUUACCUUU
Molecule: small RNA, 1653 nt
Filed under: Pan troglodytes (chimpanzee)
Lineage: Eukaryota; Metazoa; Chordata; Mammalia; Primates; Hominidae
Description: retained intron
Source: RNAcentral